This 296-nucleotide unclassified non-coding RNA is filed under the name uncultured fungus. Its description in RNAcentral is "sequence contains ITS1". The stretch from base 1 to 105 matches the Rfam family "5.8S ribosomal RNA", at positions 50 to 154 of the family's 154-position model. The record is from RNAcentral. Lineage: Eukaryota; Fungi.
GGAAUGCGAUAAGUAGUGUGAAUUGCAGAAUUCAGUGGAUCAUCGAAUCUUUGAACGCACAUUGCGCCCGUCAGUAUUCCAUGGGGCAUGCCUGUUCGAGCGUCAUUGGUAGCCUCAAGCUUUGCUUGGUGUUGGGUGUUUGUCCUCUCUGGAGGACUCGCCUCAAAACAAUUGGCAGCCGGCAUAUUGGUAUCGGAGCGCAGCACAAGUCGCGCUUCUUUCCAUGAAUGUCCGCAUCCAUCAAGACUAUUUUCACUCUUGACCUCGGAUCAGGUAGGGAUACCCGCUAAACUUAA